RNAcentral lists this ribosomal RNA (1366 nucleotides) under Escherichia coli. RNAcentral's name for it is "partial 23S ribosomal RNA". It matches the Rfam family "Bacterial large subunit ribosomal RNA", at positions 419 to 1780 of the family's 2925-position model. Lineage: Bacteria; Pseudomonadati; Pseudomonadota; Gammaproteobacteria; Enterobacterales; Enterobacteriaceae. The record is from RNAcentral.
GGGACACGUGGUAUCCUGUCUGAAUAUGGGGGGACCAUCCUCCAAGGCUAAAUACUCCUGACUGACCGAUAGUGAACCAGUACCGUGAGGGAAAGGCGAAAAGAACCCCGGCGAGGGGAGUGAAAAAGAACCUGAAACCGUGUACGUACAAGCAGUGGGAGCACGCUUAGGCGUGUGACUGCGUACCUUUUGUAUAAUGGGUCAGCGACUUAUAUUCUGUAGCAAGGUUAACCGAAUAGGGGAGCCGAAGGGAAACCGAGUCUUAACUGGGCGUUAAGUUGCAGGGUAUAGACCCGAAACCCGGUGAUCUAGCCAUGGGCAGGUUGAAGGUUGGGUAACACUAACUGGAGGACCGAACCGACUAAUGUUGAAAAAUUAGCGGAUGACUUGUGGCUGGGGGUGAAAGGCCAAUCAAACCGGGAGAUAGCUGGUUCUCCCCGAAAGCUAUUUAGGUAGCGCCUCGUGAAUUCAUCUCCGGGGGUAGAGCACUGUUUCGGCAAGGGGGUCAUCCCGACUUACCAACCCGAUGCAAACUGCGAAUACCGGAGAAUGUUAUCACGGGAGACACACGGCGGGUGCUAACGUCCGUCGUGAAGAGGGAAACAACCCAGACCGCCAGCUAAGGUCCCAAAGUCAUGGUUAAGUGGGAAACGAUGUGGGAAGGCCCAGACAGCCAGGAUGUUGGCUUAGAAGCAGCCAUCAUUUAAAGAAAGCGUAAUAGCUCACUGGUCGAGUCGGCCUGCGCGGAAGAUGUAACGGGGCUAAACCAUGCACCGAAGCUGCGGCAGCGACGCUUAUGCGUUGUUGGGUAGGGGAGCGUUCUGUAAGCCUGCGAAGGUGUGCUGUGAGGCAUGCUGGAGGUAUCAGAAGUGCGAAUGCUGACAUAAGUAACGAUAAAGCGGGUGAAAAGCCCGCUCGCCGGAAGACCAAGGGUUCCUGUCCAACGUUAAUCGGGGCAGGGUGAGUCGACCCCUAAGGCGAGGCCGAAAGGCGUAGUCGAUGGGAAACAGGUUAAUAUUCCUGUACUUGGUGUUACUGCGAAGGGGGGACGGAGAAGGCUAUGUUGGCCGGGCGACGGUUGUCCCGGUUUAAGCGUGUAGGCUGGUUUUCCAGGCAAAUCCGGAAAAUCAAGGCUGAGGCGUGAUGACGAGGCACUACGGUGCUGAAGCAACAAAUGCCCUGCUUCCAGGAAAAGCCUCUAAGCAUCAGGUAACAUCAAAUCGUACCCCAAACCGACACAGGUGGUCAGGUAGAGAAUACCAAGGCGCUUGAGAGAACUCGGGUGAAGGAACUAGGCAAAAUGGUGCCGUAACUUCGGGAGAAGGCACGCUGAUAUGUAGGUGAAGUGAUUUACUCAUGGAGCUGA